UAGAACAUUUGGAACGAUUUCGUAGUUUUCUCAGAAUGAGAUCGUCAUUGCGUGAUAAAUGUAUUACCAAUUCGAAGGUGGUGGCAUCUGCAGAGAAUCCUUUAUCGACCAUUUCAUCAAUAAGCUGUGUUGCCUUUACAUAGAGCAUUUACUAUCACAUUGUAGGUAUGAACAUUAGGUUGAUAUCCUCCAGUAACCAUAUCAUUGAAAAAAUCUACUGCUCCAUUGAUUUUACCAUCUAUGCAGAGCCCAUUAAUUAAGGUAGUAAAUGUCACAGUAUUGGGUUCCAAUCCAAAUUUGAUAAAUUUCCCCAA
RNAcentral lists this unclassified non-coding RNA (314 nucleotides) under Hevea brasiliensis (rubber tree). The record is from RNAcentral. Lineage: Eukaryota; Viridiplantae; Streptophyta; Magnoliopsida; Malpighiales; Euphorbiaceae.